Molecule: ribosomal RNA, 499 nt
Filed under: uncultured bacterium
Lineage: Bacteria
Description: partial 16S ribosomal RNA
Rfam family: Bacterial small subunit ribosomal RNA
Source: RNAcentral
ACUCAAAUGAAUUGACGGGGGCCCGCACAAGCGGUGGAUUAUGUGGUUUAAUUCGAAGCAACGCGAAAAACCUUACCUGGGCUUGAACUCCUACGAACUUGGCAGAAACGUCAGGGUGUCCGCAAGGAAAUGUAGUGAGAGGUGCUGCAUGGCUGUCGUCAGCUCGUGUUGUGAAAUGUUGGGUUAAGUCUCGCAACGAGCGCAACCCCUAUGAUUAGUUGCCAGCAUUAAGUUGGGCACUCUAAUCAGACUGCCUGGGUUAACCAGGAGGAAGGUGGGGAUGACGUCAAGUCCUCAUGGCCCUUAUGUCCAGGGCUACACACGUAAUACAAUGGCACACACAAAGGGAAGCGAACUCGCGAGGGGGAGCAAAUCUCAAAAAGUGUGUCUCAGUCCGGAUUGAAGUCUGCAACUCGACUUCAUGAAGUUGGAAUCGCUAGUAAUCGCGGAUCAGCACGCCGCGGUGAAUACGUUCCCGGGCCUUGUACACACCGCCCGU